UUACUCUGGCUUCCCUUCAGAACGCAUAAAUCUUUCGCCUUUUACUAAAGAUUUCCGUGGAGGGGAGCAACUCAAUGAGUCUCCCUACUUUAUCUCAUUUGAUUCCAAGUAG
This is a small nuclear RNA of Hyalella azteca, 112 nucleotides long. RefSeq annotates it as U5 spliceosomal RNA. The record is from RefSeq and is a predicted model, not a curated record. The transcript has a single exon. NCBI's taxonomy places the organism in Eukaryota, Metazoa, Arthropoda, Malacostraca, Amphipoda, Hyalellidae.